GAGAAGUAAUUCACCCUUUGUUCUAGCGGCGGACGGGUGAGUAACGCGUGAGCAACCUGUCCUUGUCUGGGGGAUAAGGAGCCGAAAGGCUCUCUAAUACCGCAUGAGACCACGGGAUCACAUGGUUCUGAGGUCAAAGGAUUUCGGUCCGGACAGGGGUGGGCUCGCGUCUGAUUAGCUAGUUGGUGGGGUAAGGGCUCACCUCGGCAACGAUCAGUAGCGACCUGAGAGGUGAUCGGUCACAUGGACUGAGACACGGUUCAACUCUACGGGAGGCAGCAGUGGGGAUAUGGCAUUGGGCGAAGCUGACCCAGCAACGCGCGUGAAGGAAGAAGGCUUUCGGGUCGUAAACUUCUAUCCCAGAUGAAGAUAAUGACGGUAAUCUGGAAGGAAGCCCCGGCUAACUACGUGCCAGCAGCGCGGUAAUACGUAGGGGGCAAGCGUUGUCCGGAAUGAUUGGGCGUAAAGGGCGCGUAGGCGGCCUUUUAAGUCCGAUGUGAAAGUCCUGCUUUUAAGGUGGGAAUUGCAUUGGAAACUGGAAGGCUUGAGUGCAGGAGAGGUAAGUGGAAUUCCCGGUGUAGCGGUGAAAUGCGUAGAGAUCGGGAGGAACACCAGUGGCGAAGGCGACUUACUGGACUGUAACUGACGCUGAGGCGCGAAAGUGUGGGGAGCAAACAGGAUUAGAUACCCUGGUAGUCCACACGGUAAACGAUGAGUGCUAGGUGUAGGAGGUAUCGACCCCUUCUGUGCCGGAGUCAACACAAUAAGCACUCCGCCUGGGGAGUACGGCCGCAAGGUUGAAACUCAAAGGAAUUGACGGGGGCCCGCACAAGCAGCGGAGCAUGUUGUUUAAUUCGAAGCAACGCGAAGAACCUUACCAGGUCUUGACAUCCAGUAAAAACUGUAGAGAUACAGUGUGACUUCGGUCAUACUGAGACAGGUGGUGCAUGGUUGUCGUCAGCUCGUGUCGUGAGAUGUUGGGUUAAGUCCCGCAACGAGCGCAACCCUUGUGAUUAGUUACUAACGCGUAGAGGCGAGGACUCUAUAAGACUGCCGGGACAACUCGGAGAGGUGGGGACGACGUCAAUCAUCAUGCCCCUUAUGACCUGGGCUACAACGGUGCUACAAUGUCAUACCGAGAGCUGCGACCUCGUAAGGUAAGCGGCUCUCUUCUACGUUGUCCCAGUUCGGAUUGUGGGCUGCAACCCGCCCACAUGAAGUCGGAGUUGCUAGUAAUCGCGAAUCAGCAUGUCGCGGUGAAUACGUUCCCGGGCCUUGUACACACCGCCCGUCACACCAUGGGAGUUGAUAGCGCCCGAAGUCGGUGAGGCAACCGUAAGGAGUCAGCCGCCGAAGGUGAGAUCAAUGACUGGGGGAAGUCGUAACAAGGUAACC
RNAcentral lists this ribosomal RNA (1395 nucleotides) under uncultured microorganism. Its description in RNAcentral is "16S ribosomal RNA". It matches the Rfam family "Bacterial small subunit ribosomal RNA". The record is from RNAcentral.